This 107-nucleotide small nuclear RNA is filed under the name Tursiops truncatus (common bottlenose dolphin). The record is from RNAcentral. Lineage: Eukaryota; Metazoa; Chordata; Mammalia; Artiodactyla; Delphinidae.
AUGCUUGCUUCGGCAGCACAUACACUAAAAUUGGAAUGAUACAGAGAAGAUUAGCAUGGCUCCUGCACAAGGAUGACACGCAAAUCCAUGAAGCGUUCCAUAUUUUU